Molecule: long non-coding RNA, 402 nt
Filed under: Vitis vinifera (wine grape)
Lineage: Eukaryota; Viridiplantae; Streptophyta; Magnoliopsida; Vitales; Vitaceae
Description: long non-coding RNA (VVIN_LNC004765)
Source: RNAcentral
UAUAUUUUGGGGCUGGGUGGUGGACUGUAUGGGCUUUUAUAUAUUUUGGGGCUGGGUGGUGGAUUGUGUGGCCUUUUAUAUAUUUUGGGGCUGGGAGGUGGAAUGCGUGGGCUUUUAUAUAUUUUGGGGCUGGGUGGUGGACUGUGUGGGCUUUUAUAUAUUUUGGGGCUGGGUGGUGGAUUGUGUGGGCUUUUAUAUAUUUUGGGGCUGGGAGGUGCAAUGUGUGGGCUUUUAUAUAUUUUGGGGCUGGGAGGUGGAAUGUGUGGGCUUUUAUAUAUUUUGGGGCUGGGUGGACUUUUAUGCAUUCUUUUACAGUCCCUUGAUCCGGGAUUGCACAUGCUUGUAGAUGGUGGAUCAGGUAAAUUCCCUGCUAUAAAGCCCACCUUAUCGCUACUCAUUUCU